Molecule: ribosomal RNA, 264 nt
Filed under: uncultured archaeon
Lineage: Archaea
Description: partial 16S ribosomal RNA
Rfam family: Archaeal small subunit ribosomal RNA
Source: RNAcentral
ACACGACUACAUUAGAUACCCGGGUAGUCCUAGCCGUAAACGAUACUCGCUAGGUGUCGGCCACGGUGCGACCGUUGUCGGUGCCGUAGGGAAGCCGUGAAGCGAGCCACCUGGGAAGUACGGCCGCAAGGCUGAAACUUAAAGGAAUUGGCGGGGAGCACCGCAACGGGAGGAGCGUGCGGUUCAAUUGGAUUCAACGCCGGACAACUCACCAGGAGCGACGGUUACAUGAAGGCCAGGCUGAUGACCUUGCCUGAUUUUCCG